RNAcentral lists this ribosomal RNA (235 nucleotides) under uncultured bacterium. RNAcentral describes it as "partial 16S ribosomal RNA". It matches the Rfam family "Bacterial small subunit ribosomal RNA", at positions 335 to 566 of the family's 1533-position model. The record is from RNAcentral.
GGUCCUACGGGAGGCAGCAGUGAGGAAUAUUGGUCAAUGGCCGAGAGGCUGAACCAGCCAAGUCGCGUGAGGGAAGACGGCCCUACGGGUUGUAAACCUCUUUUGUCGGGGAGCAAGGCCCGCCACGUGUGGCGGGAAGGAGAGUACCCGAAGAAAAAGCAUCGGCUAACUCCGUGCCAGCAGCCGCGGGAAUACGGAGGAUGCGAGCGUUAUCCGGAUUUCUUGGGUUUAAAGG